CUAUAUAAUAGGCUAUUUGACUGGUUUUCAAAAUCCAUUUUAUCUUAUUAAGUAGAUAUUAAAAAACCCAGUAAUAGCUUUUUUUUAUUUAAUUCUUGUACAUAUUUGCUAAAAAAUAUCAAACGAAAAGUACAACAUUUAAAUAUCUCGCCAAUACGCUAUUUUGACAAUAUGGCGCUGCAACGGGGUCGGUGACGUCACUUGCCUGUAGUCUGAUCUGUGGCACCUGUCAUUUACAUACAUUUGUUGCAAACAAAAAACGAAAGUGUUAUUAUAACAGUGAUUUAUGUAAUAAAAUAAGUUACAAAUGGUGUGCAGUUCCAAAAUGUACGAAUACGUCGAUAAAUACUCCAUAAAAACUAUUCGUAAGUGUUCCAAAGAAUGUCAAAGUGCACCGAAAGUGGUUGCUACUUUCUCGGAGGGAUCAUUACAUAGCGAAUAGUACAAAUAUUUUCUCCUGUGAAGACCGUUUCGAUAUGGAAAAUGACAUGGCAAAUUGCUACCAGUACAAAAUGGGUUUCAGCCGGAAAAUAAUUCUAAAAGAUAGUUUUGCCUUCUAAAUGUCAUUGCCAACCAGAUCGCAUUAAAAGAAUGCAUGCUGGUACUUCCAUAUCUGUAUUUGUCAAACGGCAAAGAAUGGAACUUGUUAAAUAAAGUUAAGAUAUUCAACAACCUAUAAUAAACAAUGAUGAAGCCUACGCUACUGCAAUCGAAGCUUGUACAAAAAAAUUAUCCCAAAAAUGUGAGAAAAGUAUGUUAACAGAACCUGUUGUAAUAGUAGAAAAAUCAGUCCAG
This 795-nucleotide unclassified non-coding RNA is filed under the name Melitaea cinxia (Glanville fritillary). Its description in RNAcentral is "misc RNA ENSMCXG00005002043.1". The record is from RNAcentral. Lineage: Eukaryota; Metazoa; Arthropoda; Insecta; Lepidoptera; Nymphalidae.